Molecule: non-coding RNA, 132 nt
Organism: Ornithorhynchus anatinus (platypus)
Lineage: Eukaryota; Metazoa; Chordata; Mammalia; Monotremata; Ornithorhynchidae
Source: Rfam
CCCCUCUCAGGAUCACACCUGGUGUGUUUCUAGUACUCUAUCAGUCUUGGCUACGAGAGGGAGAGUGAAACAGAGGCAUUCCAUUCCUAGCUUGGGCAGUGGUUAGCGAGUGGAAGACAAUCUGCUACAAGU